CAAGGAAUUUUCCGCAAUGGGCGCAAGCCUGACGGAGCAACGCCGCGUGGGGGAAGAAGGCUCUCGGGUUGUAAACCCCUUUUGCGAGGGAAGAAGAUCUGACGGUACCUCGCGAAUAAGCCACGGCUAACUACGUGCCAGCAGCCGCGGUAAUACGUAGGUGGCAAGCGUUGUCCGGAUUUACUGGGCGUAAAGCGCGCGCAGGCGGACUGGUCAGUCCGAGGUGAAAGCUCCCGGCUCAACCGGGAGAGGUCCUUGGAUACUGCCAGUCUUGAGGCAUCUAGAGGGGAGUGGAAUUCCCGGUGUAGUGGUGGAAUGCGUAGAUAUCGGGAGGAACACCAGUGGCGAAAGCGACUCUCUGGGGAUGUCCUGACGCUGAGGCGCGAAAGCGUGGGGAGCAAACC
Molecule: ribosomal RNA, 404 nt
Filed under: uncultured bacterium
Lineage: Bacteria
Description: bacterial SSU rRNA
Rfam family: Bacterial small subunit ribosomal RNA
Source: RNAcentral